RNAcentral lists this long non-coding RNA (1808 nucleotides) under Zea mays. RNAcentral describes it as "long non-coding RNA (ZMAY_LNC000413)". Lineage: Eukaryota; Viridiplantae; Streptophyta; Magnoliopsida; Poales; Poaceae. The record is from RNAcentral.
AUAACUGGAACAUGGAUAUAAUAAAUGAUUAUCCCAAAACCAUGUAAAGCAAUAGCAAACUACCCAAGUGAUUCAGGGGUAAACAAGGUAAUGAGAUAAACAAUCUAGGGUGACCUAUCGGGUCCCAUCAAAAUUAAACCUAUGCAUGAACAUGUGACAUUAAAGAACAUUAUUGGGUAAAAAGUGGUCAAGGGCACAACUUGCCUAGCACUUGAGAUUCCAGGUACCAACUUGCCUUACAGAUGACACGUGUCCUCGCGCUAGUCGUAGCAAUACAAGCAAACAUGGUAUAGAUAAAAUUAACAUCCCACCAAAUAUAAGAACAAACUGAAUAAUAAUGAUCUACGCGUCGCUACGAGAUCGUGGAAACGAGAACUACUAAGAUCGUUGUGAGGUUACGAACUAUGGAAGAUCUACGUGAUUCAAAUAUUAAACUAUAUUAUAAAUUGAUUAGUAUACACCAUAUGAGAGAAUAUUCUAUGAAUAAUUAACUCAACUUUAAUUUAGGUCAUUACUUGAUUAAAGAUCAUCUUUUAGUCAAUUUAUAACCAUAAGAUGAGCAUACUAUAUUAAUAUUAGAAAAGCUAAUCCAAUAAACCUUAAUUAAUCCAAUUAGUUACUUAAUUAUAUAAGUACGUAAUAUCGUAUAAUUAAUGUUGCUACUGCAUAGUAAAUAUUUAUACGAAGCUAACGUGACUUGAACGGAUACAAUCGGAGUUAAAUCGGACAAGUUAUGGUUUUCAGAAGGUUUAAGUGUGGGGGUACAAAAGAAAUUAAGCGCGUAAUUUUAUCAUGGAUUCCAUGACAAAAUAGAGUUACUAGAUGAUAAAGAAUAUUAAUAUGAGACUAAUGCAACUGGAAUGAAUCAGAUCAGAGCUAAACUAUGAGAAUUAUGAAUUAAACAAGUUUGAGUUGCAUUUAUUAUUAAUUUUAAUGCCAAAAUAAACGCGAGGGACUUCUCUGCAAAUUCAGAGGACUGAUCUGUAAUUUCAAAUUUUGUUUCCGAGGUUACUGCUGUGAAAAACAGGACGGCGGGUUAGUUAUUAAAAAGUCUAGGGUCCCAUUUGUAAGUCUGGCUCGGCAAAGGGGUAUCGUCUAUUAUGGACCGCUCGAUUAUAUUUGAAUGGCCAUUGUCUAGAUAUGAAGCGGUAUUCGGCGAUGUCCGCACGAUCAGAAAUCGACGGCUCGCGAGAUCAACGGUCACAGUUUAAUGAAACACAGAUCAAAUCCGGACCAUGCGUUGGACGAUCAACGGUCCAGAAUCAACCAUGGAACGAUCUACUUCUAGUUCGAUGAAGAUCCUACGGUGACUGUGUGUCUUCUACCUCAUGCUGCUAUACCCCUUUCUAUACGUAUGCGAGACCCCAGUAACAGUAGGUACAUUAACCCAACACCACCGGCAUGGAAGAGGAGUCUCACCGUCGAUGGUGGUGAGGCUGGCCGACGAUGGAGCGCGGAUUUCGCGGCGAGCCGCAGACCCAGUGCUCGAUUCCCUCCCCUGCGGUCGCCCAGACCAUCGUUCGGCUGGACGGUGAUGACGGCGCAGCGAGCUCCGGCCCGGUGAGGAGCCGACCACGCAGCCGUCGUGUACUCGGUACGCCCGCCCAAGCUCUAUCGAAGCGCGCCGCCAGCUUUGUGAGCCCGAGACGCGACACCAGCCGCCCUCGGAUGCCUGCUACACGGCGCUCUCCCUCUCUCGGUGCGCUGGGAACGUUAGGCAAGCGCGGUAGCCGCAAGGAACUUUCCCAUGCAACUGCGACCAGGUUUAUAGAGGUGGGCGAGGGGUAAGACGGGCUGGCUGCACGCAG